Molecule: ribosomal RNA, 398 nt
Filed under: uncultured cyanobacterium
Lineage: Bacteria; Bacillati; Cyanobacteriota
Description: bacterial SSU rRNA
Rfam family: Bacterial small subunit ribosomal RNA
Source: RNAcentral
GGAACGCGGAGACAGUUGGUGCAUGGCUGUCGUCAGCUCGUGUCGUGAAGAUGUUGGUUUAAGUCCCGCAACGAGCGCAACCCACGUUUUUAGUUGCCAGCAUUCAGUUGGGCACUCUAGAAAGACCGCCGGUGAUAAACCGGAGGAAGGUGUGGAUGACGUCAAGUCAUCAUGCCCCUUACGUCCUGGGCUACACACGUACUACAAUGCUACGGACAAAGGGCAGCAAACUCGCGAGAGCUAGCAAAUCCCAUAAACCGUGGCUCAGUUCAGAUCGUAGGCUGCAACUCGCCUACGUGAAGGAGGAAUCGCUAGUAAUCGCAGGUCAGCAUACUGCGGUGAAUACGUUCCCGGGCCUUGUACACACCGCCCGUCACACCAUGGAAGUUGGCCACGCC